AGAUGCAAUCUGGACCUUCCGAAGAGAUACAGUUUUCCUUCCCUUCAGAGUUUAGGUGAGAGUCCAAACUCCUUUGGACUCUUAAUUUUUGAUGCCACCACAUCUAAUCUUUUUGCACCCCAUAUACCUCAUGGAAGAAAGGAUUUAAGAAUCUUUCUUGCAUGUCAAAAAGGAGAGGAAGGCAUGGAAAAAUUGGCAUCCAAAAUUGAGUUGGCGUGGGACUUGAUUGUGGCGCAUGGA
RNAcentral lists this long non-coding RNA (240 nucleotides) under Elaeis guineensis (African oil palm). RNAcentral describes it as "long non-coding RNA (EGUI_LNC027991)". The record is from RNAcentral. Lineage: Eukaryota; Viridiplantae; Streptophyta; Magnoliopsida; Arecales; Arecaceae.